Molecule: ribosomal RNA, 253 nt
Filed under: uncultured bacterium
Lineage: Bacteria
Description: partial 16S ribosomal RNA
Rfam family: Bacterial small subunit ribosomal RNA
Source: RNAcentral
UACGAAGGUGGCAAGCGUUACUCGGAAUUACUAGGCGUAAAGGGCAGGUAGGUGGUUUCGUAAGUCUGUUGUGAAAGCUCCCGGCUUAACUGGGAGAGGUCAACAGAUACUGCGAGGCUUGAGUAUGGGAGAGGGUACUGGAAUUCCUGGUGUAGCGGUGAAAUGCGCAGAUAUCAGGAGGAACACCGAUGGCGAAAGCAGGUACCUGGACCAUUACUGACACUCAGCUGCGAAAGCUAGGGGAGCAAACAGG